GACGAACGCUGGCGGCGUGCCUAAUACAUGCAAGUAGAACGCACAGUUUAUACCGUAGCUUGCUACACCAUAAACUGUGAGUUGCGAACGGGUGAGUAACGCGUAGGUAACCUGCCUGGUAGCGGGGGAUAACUAUUGGAAACGAUAGCUAAUACCGCAUAAUAUUGAUUAUUGCAUGAUAAUUGAUUGAAAGAUGCUAUUGCAUCACUACCAGAUGGACCUGCGUUGUAUUAGCUAGUAGGUGAGGUAACGGCUCACCUAGGCGACGAUACAUAGCCGACCUGAGAGGGUGAUCGGCCACACUGGGACUGAGACACGGCCCAGACUCCUACGGGAGGCAGCAGUAGGGAAUCUUCGGCAAUGGACGAAAGUCUGACCGAGCAACGCCGCAUGAGUGAAGAAGGUUUUCGGAUCGUAAAGCUCUGUUGUAAGAGAAGAACGGGUGUGAGAGUGGAAAGUUCACACUGUGACGGUAUCUUACCAGAAAGGGACGGCUAACUACGUG
RNAcentral lists this ribosomal RNA (505 nucleotides) under uncultured bacterium. RNAcentral describes it as "partial 16S ribosomal RNA". It matches the Rfam family "Bacterial small subunit ribosomal RNA", at positions 28 to 507 of the family's 1533-position model. The record is from RNAcentral.